AAAUUGAAGAGUUUGAUCAUGGCUCAGAUUGAACGCUGGCGGCAGGCCUAACACAUGCAAGUCGAGCGGUAGCACAGAGAGCUUGCUCUCGGGUGACGAGCGGCGGACGGGUGAGUAAUGUCUGGGAAACUGCCUGAUGGAGGGGGAUAACUACUGGAAACGGUAGCUAAUACCGCAUAAUGUCGCAAGACCAAAGUGGGGGACCUUCGGGCCUCAUGCCAUCAGAUGUGCCCAGAUGGGAUUAGCUAGUAGGUGGGGUAACGGCUCACCUAGGCGACGAUCCCUAGCUGGUCUGAGAGGAUGACCAGCCACACUGGAACUGAGACACGGUCCAGACUCCUACGGGAGGCAGCAGUGGGGAAUAUUGCACAAUGGGCGCAAGCCUGAUGCAGCCAUGCCGCGUGUGUUAAGAAGGCCUUCGGGUUGUAAAGCACUUUCAGCGGGGAGGAAGGCGUUAAGGUUAAUAACCUUGGCGAUUGACGUUACCCGCAGAAGAAGCACCGGCUAACUCCGUGCCAGCAGCCGCGGUAAUACGGAGGGUGCAAGCGUUAAUCGGAAUUACUGGGCGUAAAGCGCACGCAGGCGGUCUGUCAAGUCGGAUGUGAAAUCCCCGGGCUCAACCUGGGAACUGCAUUCGAAACUGGCAGGCUAGAGUCUUGUAGAGGGGGGUAGAAUUCCAGGUGUAGCGGUGAAAUGCGUAGAGAUCUGGAGGAAUACCGGUGGCGAAGGCGGCCCCCUGGACAAAGACUGACGCUCAGGUGCGAAAGCGUGGGGAGCAAACAGGAUUAGAUACCCUGGUAGUCCACGCCGUAAACGAUGUCGAUUUGGAGGUUGUGCCCUUGAGGCGUGGCUUCCGGAGCUAACGCGUUAAAUCGACCGCCUGGGGAGUACGGCCGCAAGGUUAAAACUCAAAUGAAUUGACGGGGGCCCGCACAAGCGGUGGAGCAUGUGGUUUAAUUCGAUGCAACGCGAAGAACCUUACCUGGUCUUGACAUCCACAGAACUUUCCAGAGAUGGAUUGGUGCCUUCGGGAACUGUGAGACAGGUGCUGCAUGGCUGUCGUCAGCUCGUGUUGUGAAAUGUUGGGUUAAGUCCCGCAACGAGCGCAACCCUUAUCCUUUGUUGCCAGCGGUCCGGCCGGGAACUCAAAGGAGACUGCCAGUGAUAAACUGGAGGAAGGUGGGGAUGACGUCAAGUCAUCAUGGCCCUUACGACCAGGGCUACACACGUGCUACAAUGGCAUAUACAAAGAGAAGCGACCUCGCGAGAGCAAGCGGACCUCAUAAAGUAUGUCGUAGUCCGGAUUGGAGUCUGCAACUCGACUCCAUGAAGUCGGAAUCGCUAGUAAUCGUAGAUCAGAAUGCUACGGUGAAUACGUUCCCGGGCCUUGUACACACCGCCCGUCACACCAUGGGAGUGGGUUGCAAAAGAAGUAGGUAGCUUAACCUUCGGGAGGGCGCUUACCACUUUGUGAUUCAUGACUGGGGUGAAGUCGUAACAAGGUAACCGUAGGGGAACCUGCGGUUGGAUCACCUCCUUACCUUAAAGAA
RNAcentral lists this ribosomal RNA (1550 nucleotides) under Klebsiella pneumoniae. RNAcentral's name for it is "bacterial SSU rRNA". It matches the Rfam family "Bacterial small subunit ribosomal RNA". Lineage: Bacteria; Pseudomonadati; Pseudomonadota; Gammaproteobacteria; Enterobacterales; Enterobacteriaceae. The record is from RNAcentral.